CAUUCGGUUUUGUGUUUGUCAGCAGUAUUCGUAACCGUGUAUCGCUGCCUGCCGCCGUGCCAGCUGCGGGUGCUCGUUCCACGUACGAAGUCUGUCAGUUUUUGCAUUCCGGGUGUCAAUAUUACUUUCGUCGUUCGUUUCCCAUGAACAUUUCCGUUUCUAUAACGUUCGGCUGACCGAUAGCCACCUGACACGCUGUAACCGUCAGACGUUACACGGAACCGAUCGAAACUCGUGUACCUAGGUAUUUCCGUGUACUUUUGGCCACGGUUCUGUAAGUAACAUGAAGAUGAGUGACAGCAUGCACAAUUUAAACGACUACAUCGAACAUUACAAAAGACACAUCGGCAAAGCCACCGAAACCAACGACAAUGAGAAGGUACUGUAUACCUGUCGAAUUCCGAUCGAAGAAAUAGUUACGUUUACUUAUUUAGAAAUC
Molecule: non-coding RNA, 439 nt
Organism: Cinara cedri
Lineage: Eukaryota; Metazoa; Arthropoda; Insecta; Hemiptera; Aphididae
Source: the annotation of a GenBank genome assembly